This 253-nucleotide ribosomal RNA is filed under the name uncultured bacterium. RNAcentral's name for it is "partial 16S ribosomal RNA". It matches the Rfam family "Bacterial small subunit ribosomal RNA", at positions 524 to 776 of the family's 1533-position model. The record is from RNAcentral.
UACGAAGGGUGCAAGCGUUACUCGGAAUUACUGGGCGUAAAGCGUGCGUAGGCGGUUUUUUAAGUCCGUUGUGAAAGCCCUGGGCUCAACCUGGGAAUGGCAGUGGAUACUGGAAAGCUAGAGUGCGGUAGAGGGUAGUGGAAUUCCCGGUGUAGCAGUGAAAUGCGUAGAGAUCGGGAGGAACACCAGUGGCGAAGGCGGCUACCUGGACCAGCACUGACACUGAGGCACGAAAGCGUGGGGAGCAAACAGG